GUGGGGAAUAUUGGACAAUGGGCGAAAGCCUGAUCCAGCCAUGCCGCGUGUGUGAAGAAGGUCUUCGGAUUGUAAACUGCUUUUGUACGGAACGAAAAGACUCUGGUUAAUACCUGGGGUCCAUGACGGUACCGUAAGAAUAAGCACCGGCUAACUACGUGCCAGCAGCCGCGGUAAUACGUAGGGUGCAAGCGUUAAUCGGAAUUACUGGGCGUAAAGCGUGCGCAGGCGGUUAUAUAAGACAGAUGUGAAAUCCCCGGGCUCAACCUGGGAACUGCAUUUGUGACUGUAUAGCUAGAGUGCGGCAGAGGGGGAUGGAAUUCCGCGUGUAGCAGUGAAAUGCGUAGAUAUGCGGAGGAACACCGAUGGCGAAGGCAAUCCCCUGGGCCUGCACUGACGCUCAUGCACGAAAGCGUGGGGAGCAAACAGGAUUAGAUACCCCUGUAGUCC
Molecule: ribosomal RNA, 450 nt
Filed under: uncultured bacterium
Lineage: Bacteria
Description: bacterial SSU rRNA
Rfam family: Bacterial small subunit ribosomal RNA
Source: RNAcentral